UACGUAGGCGGAAAAUUAAGUCAGUGGUGAAAUCCUGCAGCUUAACUGUAGAACUGUCAUUGAUACUGGUUUUCUUGAAUACAGUUGAGGUAGGCGGAAUGUGUAAUGUAGCGGUGAAAUGCUUAGAUAUUACACAGAACACCGAUUGCGAAGGCAGCUUACUCAACUGUUAUUGACGCUGAGGUACGAAAGCGUGGGGAGCGAACAGGAUUAGAUACCCUGGUAGUCC
This 229-nucleotide ribosomal RNA is filed under the name uncultured bacterium. RNAcentral describes it as "partial 16S ribosomal RNA". It matches the Rfam family "Bacterial small subunit ribosomal RNA", at positions 568 to 796 of the family's 1533-position model. The record is from RNAcentral.